CCUUAGCUCUAGCAGGCUGGUGUGGAGGCUCCCAGUAGGCACAUCCUUGGCUGAGGACGUCUCCGAGGACUCGUCCAUGGAAGAGUCAGUGGACAGCGCCGAGUCUGUGACAUCGUUUCCCCGGAGAUGGGAACAGAGCGAUCGAACUUCACACAGGCUGGACGGGUGCGGGGUGAGGCUUUGGAGGCUGUGCUCCUCCGUCAACUCCUCCAGCCGAGCAGUCAGCUGCCUGUGAGACAUCUGAACCUCCUGGAGCUCCAGCUGGCUCUGCCGCAACUUGACAGAACAGAGGAGGCAAAACUGGGACUUAACAGUGCAAAGUACCUGUAGAGGUCUGACGGGUCAGGUCCUUCUCGUGACACUGCCUCUCAAACACCAGCGUCCUCUCUCUGAGGUCGUCCACCGUAUUCUGCAGCAGCUCGUUCUCCUCCAGCAUGGCGUGCACCCGGCGUUCCAGCUCCAUCUUCCUCUCCGACAGCAUCUUAAUCUAACAUGUCAAACAGCACCAGUUAGUUGCUGCGCUGCGGGAAAUAGGCAUUAAUUGGAGAAACUGAGGAUUCUUUAGAUUUCCUGGUGAAUAGCGGACAGAUGGGAAGCAAUGGACCUGAUUAAAGGCUACAUUUUGUUGUUUUUCUGACUCUGAGGCAAGCUGGGCUCUUACACAAGAUUAAAAAGUACUCCCACUGGCCUUAAGAAUGUAUGUUGCCUAGCACCGGUGUAGAUGUAAGUUGCCACCCUCGUCUACAAGAAUGUCUUGGUGAUAAGUUAGCAUCUCUACCAAGCUUGAUAUCAGCGUACUCCUUACCAUGCAUGUGGAACGGCCUUCUACUGAAGGCAAGCAUUGCAGCAACACCACAUAUUCCUCAUGAAUUGUUUUCCAUUGGAGCUGCUUGAGCAGCUUUCCCCAUUAAACAAACAUCAGUUCAUUUUUAUCCCUCCUGCUUUUGACCUACAUCUGCUAACCUACUUCAGUUACCAGCUUACAUGUGGAUCUGUUGUUUUCACUACCACAUGAGCAUCCACAUUGCCAGGUUCUGGAUAUUUUUGUGCUGCCAUAGUCUCUGUCUUCACGCAAAUAGGGCAAAAAGCCAUUAGUCAUCAGCUCAUGCCAUACAAAUGCAAAGCGUUGGAAAAGUGGGAGCACCCAGACAUUGCGGUAUCUCAGCUAAAUAUAGAGCAGUAGCCUUUUCUCCCAAUUAUAGCGCAGGCUCUGCAGUCUGGGUGUUUUCUGCCUGGCUUUGAAGAGAAGCUACAGGGAAAUCUGAAUUGUCGUUAUGUUCUAUCAG
This is a long non-coding RNA of Micropterus dolomieu (smallmouth bass), 1286 nucleotides long. RefSeq lists it as uncharacterized. Lineage: Eukaryota; Metazoa; Chordata; Actinopteri; Centrarchiformes; Centrarchidae. The transcript is spliced from 3 exons. The record is from RefSeq and is a predicted model, not a curated record.